This 206-nucleotide ribosomal RNA is filed under the name uncultured bacterium. Its description in RNAcentral is "partial 16S ribosomal RNA". It matches the Rfam family "Bacterial small subunit ribosomal RNA", at positions 1295 to 1500 of the family's 1533-position model. The record is from RNAcentral.
GGAUCGCAGGCUGCAACCCGCCUGCGUGAAGUCGGAAUCGCUAGUAAUCGCGGAUCAGCAUGCCGCGGUGAAUACGUUCCCGGGCCUUGUACACACCGCCCGUCACACCAUGAGAGUCGGGAACACCCGAAGUCCGUAGCCUAACAGCAAUGAGGGCGCGGCCGAAGGUGGGUUCGAUAAUUGGGGUGAAGUCGUAACAAGGUACC